AUUGGAGAGUUUGAUCCUGGCUCAGGAUGAACGCUGGCGGCGUGCUUAACACAUGCAAGUCGAACGGGAUCCAUCAGGCUUUGCUUGGUGGUGAGAGUGGCGAACGGGUGAGUAAUGCGUGACCGACCUGCCCCAUGCACCGGAAUAGCUCCUGGAAACGGGUGGUAAUGCCGGAUGCUCCAUCACAUCGCAUGGUGUGUUGGGAAAGCCUUUGCGGCAUGGGAUGGGGUCGCGUCCUAUCAGCUUGAUGGCGGGGUAACGGCCCACCAUGGCUUCGACGGGUAGCCGGCCUGAGAGGGCGACCGGCCACAUUGGGACUGAGAUACGGCCCAGACUCCUACGGGAGGCAGCAGUGGGGAAUAUUGCACAAUGGGCGCAAGCCUGAUGCAGCGACGCCGCGUGAGGGAUGGAGGCCUUCGGGUUGUAAACCUCUUUUGUUAGGGAGCAAGGCACUUUGUGUUGAGUGUACCUUUCGAAUAAGCACCGGCUAACUACGUGCCAGCAGCCGCGGUAA
This 514-nucleotide ribosomal RNA is filed under the name Bifidobacterium breve. Its description in RNAcentral is "bacterial SSU rRNA". It matches the Rfam family "Bacterial small subunit ribosomal RNA", at positions 1 to 523 of the family's 1533-position model. Lineage: Bacteria; Bacillati; Actinomycetota; Actinomycetes; Bifidobacteriales; Bifidobacteriaceae. The record is from RNAcentral.